This 65-nucleotide transfer RNA is filed under the name Dipodomys ordii (Ord's kangaroo rat). It matches the Rfam family "tRNA". From Rfam's summary of the family: Transfer RNA (tRNA) molecules are approximately 80 nucleotides in length. Their secondary structure includes four short double-helical elements and three loops (D, anti-codon, and T loops). Further hydrogen bonds mediate the characteristic L-shaped molecular structure. tRNAs have two regions of fundamental functional importance: the anti-codon, which is responsible for specific mRNA codon recognition, and the 3' end, to which the tRNAs corresponding amino acid is attached (by aminoacyl-tRNA synthetases). tRNAs cope with the degeneracy of the genetic code in two manners: having more than one tRNA (with a specific anti-codon) for a particular amino acid; and 'wobble' base-pairing, i.e. permitting non-standard base-pairing at the 3rd anti-codon position. The record is from Rfam by way of RNAcentral. Lineage: Eukaryota; Metazoa; Chordata; Mammalia; Rodentia; Heteromyidae.
GGUGGCUCAGUGGUAGAGCACUUGCCUUACAAGCAUGAGGCCCUGGGUUCAAUUCCUCAGCACCA